UACGUAGGGUGCGAGCGUUAAUCGGAAUUACUGGGCGUAAAGCGUGCGCAGGCGGUUUUGUAAGACAGAGGUGAAAUUCCCGGGCUUAACCUGGGGGCUGCCUUUGUGACUGCAAAGCUGGAGUGCGGCAGAGGGGGAUGGAAUUCCGCGUGUAGCAGUGAAAUGCGUAGAUAUGCGGAGGAACACCGAUGGCGAAGGCAAUCCCCUGGGCCUGCACUGACGCUCAUGCACGAAAGCGUGGGGAGCAAACAGG
RNAcentral lists this ribosomal RNA (253 nucleotides) under uncultured bacterium. RNAcentral describes it as "partial 16S ribosomal RNA". It matches the Rfam family "Bacterial small subunit ribosomal RNA", at positions 524 to 776 of the family's 1533-position model. The record is from RNAcentral.